UAUAUUCAGAAACUAUAGAAUAAAGAAUAAAAUGCAUGUGGGGAGUGCCCAAUAAGAUUGCAAGAAUUCCGAUUUGUCGCCGACCAAAGUCUACCACUUCCCGUUACCGACCGAAUCAACCAGAAGCAGGCAUUGAUGGAACAACCGAGCGAAAAGGCCCCUCAGGAUCAAGCCCGGGAAUCUCUCAUCGCGAUAGCGUACUCCUCGCCAGAGGAAUCUAAGCCAUCAGAUGUUUCGCCCGGCAACAAUGACAUUACGAGUGGAAUCAGCAUGGAAAAUGGCGAUGAGGCGGAGAGACUCCGGUCUGAACUCAUCUCACUUUCCUACACCCAGUCACCGGAUGUUGGUGCUUCCCCGUUGCCCAGCAAUGGAUAGCGGUUUGCAGAAAUGUAUAGUUUGUAUUGAAAGGUCAUCUUCUACGUGCCAAAAGACAGGAAUUAUACGACUACGUUCUCUGUGUGUUAGAUAUCUGUCUUAAAUGAUAAAAGCCUGUCUGGUCUCUCUUGACCUAUAU
Tarenaya hassleriana is the source of this 514-nucleotide long non-coding RNA. RefSeq lists it as uncharacterized. The record is from RefSeq and is a predicted model, not a curated record. NCBI's taxonomy places the organism in Eukaryota, Viridiplantae, Streptophyta, Magnoliopsida, Brassicales, Cleomaceae. The transcript is spliced from 2 exons.